GUGCCAGAAGUUUCGGUUAUGCAAAUAGAACAAGUAGUUUACAUUAAAGGUAUAAAGGAUUAGUAGACGGAUUAUUUAUUAAAAAUUCGAAAUCUAGAAUAAAAUAAUUGAUUAUAUUUAAUGAAAAAUAGAAGUAAAAGUUAAAUUUAAUAAUAUCUAUUGGACAAUCAUUAAAUGAAAAUAUUAAAUAAUAAUUUUAUUGACGUUGAGAUAAUGAAACCUAAAGUAUCAAGUUGGACUUGUUAACCAAUUAGUUUUAGGUGUAAACUAUGUAUAUUAAUAAUUAAUAUUAUAUACACUUAUUCCUAAAAAAGGAAAGUGUAUUAAAUAUAUAAUAAUUAUAAAGAUAAUUUAAUAAUAUACCACCUGAAAAGUAUAAUACAGAAUUGAAAUUUAAAACAAUAGGCCGUUUAGUUUAUUAACAGUGGAUCAUGUUAUUUAAU
RNAcentral lists this ribosomal RNA (443 nucleotides) under Wickerhamiella galacta. Its description in RNAcentral is "partial small subunit ribosomal RNA". Lineage: Eukaryota; Fungi; Ascomycota; Dipodascomycetes; Dipodascales; Trichomonascaceae. The record is from RNAcentral.